This 171-nucleotide unclassified non-coding RNA is filed under the name uncultured fungus. Its description in RNAcentral is "sequence contains ITS1". Lineage: Eukaryota; Fungi. The record is from RNAcentral.
CCGUGAAGCGGCUGGGGACCAUCCCCCGGCACGCCGACCCUGUGUGUACGCUCUGGUUGCUUCGGCGGGCCGUCCGCUCGUCGGCCGCCGGCCUCGGCCGGUGUGCGCCCGCCGGAAGACCAUCCAACCCUGUCUUACGGUGACGUCCGAGCAAACAUUGAGAAAUCAGCA